This 78-nucleotide transfer RNA is filed under the name Anoxybacter fermentans. RNAcentral describes it as "tRNA-Pro". It matches the Rfam family "tRNA". From Rfam's summary of the family: Transfer RNA (tRNA) molecules are approximately 80 nucleotides in length. Their secondary structure includes four short double-helical elements and three loops (D, anti-codon, and T loops). Further hydrogen bonds mediate the characteristic L-shaped molecular structure. tRNAs have two regions of fundamental functional importance: the anti-codon, which is responsible for specific mRNA codon recognition, and the 3' end, to which the tRNAs corresponding amino acid is attached (by aminoacyl-tRNA synthetases). tRNAs cope with the degeneracy of the genetic code in two manners: having more than one tRNA (with a specific anti-codon) for a particular amino acid; and 'wobble' base-pairing, i.e. permitting non-standard base-pairing at the 3rd anti-codon position. Lineage: Bacteria; Bacillati; Bacillota; Clostridia; Halanaerobiales. The record is from RNAcentral.
CGGGAUGUGGCGCAGCCUGGUUAGCGCGCACGUCUGGGGGGCGUGAGGUCGCCAGUUCAAAUCUGGCCAUCCCGACCA